GAUGAAGAACGCAGCGAAAUGCGAUAAGUAAUGUGAAUUGCAGAAUUCAGUGAAUCAUCGAAUCUUUGAACGCACAUUGCGCCCGCCAGUAUUCUGGCGGGCAUGCCUGUCUGAGCGUCAUUUCAACCCUCAUGCCCCUAGGGCGUGGUGUUGGGGAUCGGCCAAAGCCCGCGAGGGACGGCCGGCCCCUAAAUCUAGUGGCGGACCCGUCGUGGCCUCCUCUGCGAAGUAGUGAUAUUCCGCAUCGGAGAGCGAUGAGCCCCUGCCGUUAAACCCCCAACUUUCCAAGGUUGACCUCAGAACAGGUAGGAAUACCCGCUGAACUUAAGCAUAUCAAUAAGCGGAGGA
Molecule: unclassified non-coding RNA, 348 nt
Filed under: soil metagenome
Description: partial contains 5.8S ribosomal RNA, internal transcribed spacer 2, and large subunit ribosomal RNA
Rfam family: 5.8S ribosomal RNA (bases 1-120)
Source: RNAcentral